UUCUUUGCCAAUACUGGUUAUUCCAUUCUCUUCCAAACACCUUUUAUCAUAACUUGUUAUUCUAAUUCCAUUUCUACACUUGUGCCCUGCACUUAUAAAAAGGGUAGUUUCAGAAGCAGCCAAUAUUCACAACACACACGUUAAAUUUUUCGUAUAGUUGCGAAAAGAGAGUUAAUUUAGAGAAGUAUGGCAUCAAUGAAGGCGGAAAGGCAAGUCGGCACUCAGCUGUUUGGGCAGGCCAAGAAAGAACCUGCCGUUGCCAAGGCUGGUGAUGCCAAAGCUCCGGCAUCUAAAGCCACCCCAAAGAAGGCUGCAGCCGCACCAAAGUCUCCGGCACCCAAGAAGAAGGGUAAAGGUGGCAAAUCUGCAGCAAAGAACUGACCAAAUUGCUGAUGAAGCAUGCAGCAAAAGCAACGAUUUCAUUUCGUUUUCUCGUAAUAUUUUGUCUUUUUGGAUUUUGUAAUCAGCAAGGUGUGUAAGCAUGGUAACUUUGAUGUAAUCCACGUAAACCAUCCCAAUGAAAUAACAACUCAUGUUUAGCUA
Molecule: long non-coding RNA, 543 nt
Organism: Malus domestica (apple)
Lineage: Eukaryota; Viridiplantae; Streptophyta; Magnoliopsida; Rosales; Rosaceae
Source: RefSeq, a predicted model, not a curated record